AACUGCUACGUCCGAGUUCACUUCUCUCCAUUAGGUUAAAUUCUGAGUGAUGUGUAGUCAGACUUGCGUUUCCCAGGCUAACCUGAAAGGGCCAGGUCUCUCCAGUGAGAAUUCAUUACCAGUGUCUUCAGUAUUUCUGUGGGGAGGAAAAAAACUCUGAAAAUGUUGAGUUAUGCUCUUUUUUAUCUGACAAAAAUAUAUCGCAGGAGGAUUUGCAAGCCUGUCUUAAAAUAGAGGCCCUUAUCAGGAUAAAGAAAGCAGAAGAUUUUAUUCAUCUGGCCUUCAUCAUGUACGAUUUCAAAGCUGUGAAAGGCACCCUGGAGUGGUCUCCUAGAGAGUGUGAUGCAGUUUAGAUGCAGCCUCUGAGCCUCACUUGCAGCGUGGAAAACGAUGGUCAGGCUGCUUUUCUGUGUG
Nothoprocta perdicaria is the source of this 414-nucleotide long non-coding RNA. RefSeq lists it as uncharacterized. The record is from RefSeq and is a predicted model, not a curated record. The transcript has 4 exons. NCBI's taxonomy places the organism in Eukaryota, Metazoa, Chordata, Aves, Tinamiformes, Tinamidae.